Molecule: transfer RNA, 77 nt
Filed under: Synergistaceae bacterium
Lineage: Bacteria; Thermotogati; Synergistota; Synergistia; Synergistales; Synergistaceae
Description: tRNA-Ile
Rfam family: tRNA
About the family: Transfer RNA (tRNA) molecules are approximately 80 nucleotides in length.
Source: RNAcentral
GGGCCUAUAGCUCAAUUGGUCAGAGCCACCGGCUCAUAACCGGAAGGUUCCAGGUUCGAUUCCCGGUAGGCCCACCA